UGUGUAUGCUCAAGGCUCUGGGCCUCAGAGCAGCCCCCAUUGGGAUCAGGACACAUCAGAGCACCAAGGACACAUUGACUCACUCACCUCUUGCACUUUUAGAAAUAGAGUUGCAGUUAAGGUACGUGCUGAUGUCAAACACAAUGAAACCAUUACGGUGUUGCGAGUCGCCUGAGUGUUCUUUUGAAUUUAAUUAUUUAAAUGACCUACUAUUGUUUUUAAAUUAAAUUUUUAAGCUUGCUAAAUGGCUGCCAUCCUGGGUUAGUUGUUACAGUAUUGUGAUUGGUGUUGACAGAAAUGGAGUUGAUGCAAGCAUUGGGGGGAUCUCGACACUCUGCUUUCUGAGCACUGUAUGGGCCAGCCCUGCACUCGUGUGCAUGGGCACUGCUUGGAGACUUGUAGCUUGAGCUGCUGGAGCCAGCUAAGGCCUCACAGCCAGGGUUGCCAUGCCUUGUGCACAAAAACACAAAAAAAUGCAGCAUGGCAACCCCCUUUUAAGGACCACAGCUCUUCUUACCCCAUGUGCAAGUCCAAGAUGAAUGGCCUACCUGCCACAGGCACACAGAGAAAAGCUCUGCUAUUUUUUCUUGUAGACAGACAAAGCUUAGCCAAAAAUAGAGCUAACAGUGUUUAGUUCAGCCACUAGAAAUACAGACCCAUGCAAGUGUCAAAUGCACGUCUUCCCUGUAGUUCUGGACAGUGGAACCAAUGAUAACGCCUUUUGUUGUUUGUAACAUCAGAGCAUGCAAGUCAGCAGGAUUUAAUCAAACAUUUUCACAUAACUUUAUAAUUAGGACAAAAUAAUGCAUGAAUUCUUUUUCAACGCUACUGACGUCUGUUGCUCAGCAUUGCUAGUGUUUGAUUUAUUUCAGAUUAUUUUAUUUUAAAUGUCACGUACCCCUGGUGUAGAAGAGAUGACUCUCAAUAAAAGUCCAGGAUUGAGCUGCUCCUUUCAUUAUAAUAAUUGUAUUUACAAAGGGGCAGCAGGUUCCUCUCAUAUGGAGGAAUUUAAUCUGCUCUGCUGUUAGCAAUGUCCCAAAUUUAUUUUAUUUUUUCACCUAGUGAGUAGGUUAAAAAGUAAGAAGACAGCAUUCUCCCCAGGAGAGAGAUUCUCCCCAGGCAGAAUAUGUAUUUUAAAGUGACUGCCGUCAGUGUGAUGCGGUGAUAGACCUUCAUCCCUAAUGCAAGUGCUGGCAGCAGCCAAGGCAUCAUUUACUAGAAUAUAUCCGAGGCUGACUUUUUGUAGCUUUUUGUAGCAAUCUGAGUUCAAUUCAAACCAUAAUCAGCUAAUCACUGGCAAUUUUCAGAUAUGAGUCAAGCUAAUUUCAAGACAAUCAGCCUUAGAUAGUUUCAUUGAACAGCCCUGGAGAUGAUGUUUAUGUUGAUGUCCAUUAGUAUUGCAACUGACAGUAAUGCGUGCUCUGCAAAAAGGAAAACAACCAAAAAAUUAAACCUUCUCUGGAAUGAACAACUAAAAGUCUGUAAGUCUGAAGAAUAGGAAGUUUAUUUCUACACACUGAUGUUCCUCAGCAGGUGUUCUAACCCUAGAGUUGCUUUCAUGCAAAGAGGCAGCAUGUCAUUUCAGGAAUACUUAAUUACCCUAAUUUGAAAGCUUCUGUUCAGCACUGAUUUUUCAAAACAUGUGCUCUGUGGAAAAGCUGUGGAAACCAAAAAGAUGGUCAGAAUCUUGGCCACACUGUGUGGCUGUCACUUUUUUUUUAAGAGUUUUGAUUCAAACCACCUGUGACUUUGCUGACAUGCAUCACCAUGUUAUAUAAAUGAGCCUUUAAUGACCCUUACUUUCUUGAUUUUAUCUUUUUUCCCCCAUUACUUGAAUUUAUUUUCUUUUCAUAGACUAUGGAGUUAGAUAUGUGUAACAGCUCAUUUGCAGAGAAAUAUCCCCUACAAGACAGGAGGAUACUGCCUCUAAUCACACGGCUGAAGUGCAAUGUUGUGAGACUGAAAUGGACAACCGAACCAUAUGAUCAGCCUUCUUUUAUGAGAACACUAUGUCAGUCAGUCAGUUUAUGACCUGAAAUUGGAUGGGAAAAGUCUGAUCCUGGCCCUGCUGAAUGCAAAGAGUUUCAUUUUGCCAUUCUGUUUAGGAGAUACAGCUUUGGAGCUCCUGCCAUCACAUCCUCGACCUUUUGUGUGUCAUUACCUUGAGACUGAAGUUUUGCUGUCCCUCCCCACCUCCUGCUGGGAGCUGAGCAGAGCAGCACUGCGGGCACCCAGUGCCCAGGUCCUUCCUAUGUCAGAGGCCUCGGUGGGCUCAGCACAUCUUUGCAGCAGCAAGCAAGGGUCCCUCAGCACCAGCUCUGGAGGACACUGCCACCCUGGUGCCCUCUCUAAAGCUUAGCUGUAACCCCACCUAUGCAGACUCUGAUGCUAUCUCUCAGCUCUGGGCUGCCAGAGCUCUGGUGCUUGUCACUGACUGAUGCCAUAGAUGUGCUGCUAUGUCUAACAGCAGCUGUCUUCUCAUCCCAUCUGGGACAGAGAAGUGCCCUACAGAAGACGAGAUGGCCACCCAAACACCUGGAAAGUCUACAACAAACUUCAGCUGUCUCCAAAGCAAAAGCUUCAACUUGGAGUGCUUCCGGGGUGACUGAGGAAGGGGUAACCAGAGACACAGUUGUCUUAUAUGUGCUCUUGGUUACCACAACUUGUUUACUACCACUUGGUGCCUUAUGUCGAGAUAACCUGUAAACACAUUAGCAGGAGUCUAAAUAACAUUUAGGAAAAAAAUAUAGUAUCCGCCUAGCUGCUGAUCACUACAGCUUAUAAUUGUAAGUAUACCUUCUCUCAUCAUUACAACAAUCUGCUCAGUUGACGUCACAGUUAAGUCUCAUCUAUGUCAAAUUAUUUUCAAUAAUAUAAUCAAAAGGUUAUCUGUGGAUCAGACAAAAAUUAAUGAAUAAAAUGGUAUUUGCACUGAGUUGGCUGAGUGCUGCUAUAGAAUGUCUUAGGUUGGAAGGUCAUCUUAAAGUACUUCAAGAAAAAGUUUGUAUGCUAUAGGUGGCAGCUCAUGCAGGCUUCUAUCAUAGUAAAAAAAGGACUGAAUUUUCAGUACAACUGGUAUUCCUGCAACCUUAGUCGUGAUGUGUGGGAAGUCAGACUUUCCUAGCAAGGGACUACUUAGUGAAAAGCAAUUUCCAAGUAUGAGAUUUUCUCUCUCAAAUUCUGGUGAAAUCUUUAUACCUGACAUCUACAAACACACGACUAAGCAAUUGUUAACAUGUACUGAGGUAACAGAUCAUAAGACAGAGAAGUAAGAGGUGAAAGUAGUAGUGUUUAAAGACAUUAUUCAGAUCACAGUUCAAAGACAAUCUGUUCUUUUGGCAAAGCCUUGUGCAGUAGGACUUGUAGGUAAUACUUCUAGACAAAAACAGAUCACCUUCAACACUGGUUUAACACUGGCAAAUAACCAACAGCUCUAUGCAUCAUCACCACUUCUCCUGUGGAGUUCAAACUGAAGGUAAUUUGCAGUUAUACUUCCCUCCUCCCUCACUCCUUUUUAAUUUCAGGCCAUUGCUGAAAGUAUGCUCUUUGCUUUUCCUUGCAAAUAAGCUAAAUCUUGUCUCUUGCUUGCAAUGAUUAUGCAGUAUAAGUGUCAGUCAACUACAAGGAUAUUCAUUUAGUUGCACAUAAUAGAUAUUUGGACAAAUGAAACUGUACAGUUAAUUAUGACCAGGUGUGUUUUGAUACAGCAUUUAAGCCUUUGAAUUAUCCAUUAUGAUUUUGCUCACGUUUUUACUCUAACACAGUAAUUAGAAAAAUCACAGAUAGAUAGGUACGUAUACUGGUCAGUCUAGAGCCCUUCCUUCCUCCCUCUCUCCCACCUGACCCUACUCUAUCUAACCUACUCUACCUGACAACAUUCCCAACUAUCAGACAAACUUCAAAGAAUGAAAUGCAUGGAUUUUUUUUUCUAUUUUAUGUAUUUUCCUAAUGUUUGAGACCACUGUAAAAAAUCUUUCUAAGGAGAAGGAUUAAUGUUGUAAAAACAACUUCCUUAAAAAAAAAAUUAAA
Molecule: non-coding RNA, 4029 nt
Organism: Meleagris gallopavo (turkey)
Lineage: Eukaryota; Metazoa; Chordata; Aves; Galliformes; Phasianidae
Source: RefSeq, a predicted model, not a curated record